CAGUCGCCGCGGGAAAACGGAGGGUGCAAGCGUUAUCCGGAUUUAUUGGGUUUAAAGGGUCCGUAGGCGGAUCUGUAAGUCAGUGGUGAAAUCUCACAGCUUAACUGUGAAACUGCCAUUGAUACUGCAGGUCUUGAGUAAAUUUGAAGUGGCUGGAAUAAGUAGUGUAGCGGUGAAAUGCAUAGAUAUUACUUAGAACACCAAUUGCGAAGGCAGGUCACUAAGAUUUAACUGACGCUGAUGGACGAAAGCGUGGGGAGCGAACAGGAUUAGAUACCCCUGUAGUCCCUGUCUCUUAUAA
RNAcentral lists this ribosomal RNA (301 nucleotides) under uncultured bacterium. RNAcentral describes it as "partial 16S ribosomal RNA". It matches the Rfam family "Bacterial small subunit ribosomal RNA", at positions 509 to 809 of the family's 1533-position model. The record is from RNAcentral.